CCUACGGGAGGCAGCAGUGGGGAAUAUUGCACAAUGGGGGAAACCCUGAUGCAGCGACGCCGCGUGAGUGAAGAAGUAUUUCGGUUUGUAAAGCUCUAUCAGCAGGAACGAGACAAGACGGUACCUGACUAAGAAGCCCCGGCUAACUACGUGCCAGCAGCCGCGGUAAUACGCAGGGGGCAAGCGUUAUCCGGAAUCACUGGGUGUAAAGGGAGCGUAGACGGCUGAGCAAGCCUGAAGUGAAAGGCGGGGGCCCAACCCCCGGACUGCUUUGGGAACUGGACGGCUGGAGUGCAGGAGAGGUAAGUGGAAUUCCUAGUGUAGCGGUGAAAUGCGUAGAUAUUAGGAGGAACACCAGUGGCGAAGGCGGCUUACUGGACUGUAACUGACGUUGAGGCUCGAAAGCGUGGGGAGCAAACAGGAUUAGAUACCCUUGUAGUC
RNAcentral lists this ribosomal RNA (441 nucleotides) under uncultured bacterium. RNAcentral describes it as "partial 16S ribosomal RNA". It matches the Rfam family "Bacterial small subunit ribosomal RNA", at positions 338 to 795 of the family's 1533-position model. The record is from RNAcentral.